CAAUACUGAAAAAUGUUCAUUUUGCUCACUUUCCUCUGUUUUUCCCGUUUUGCAAAAUGCAGCUCUUUGCGGGCAGCUUCGAGGUGGUUUUCCACACCAGCAAAACCUGGGUUAGUGGACAAUAGGAGCAGAAUUCGUCUUGCUGAACACCACAACCCAUGGAUGUCGGCCUGAAUGCGCCCUCCACCAGUUUUUUCCUCCAGACCCAUCAAAUGGACAGCUCUCAAGACGGACCUCUUGGAAGACGAUGAGCGAUUGCAAACCAGAAAGAACUGGAUGGCGACUGUCACACCCUGCUUGAUUUGCAUGUCAUUUGGACCUCUGAGGUCAGACCUACCGUAUAAGGCCUCUAUGUGUCUCGCAGAGGGAAGAGAGAUCGUCUUCAAGAUGGGUUUCUGGAAUGGCGAUGACCGAUUAGAGCAAUUGAGAGCUGGAUGAUGACUUCCCCCGUUGGAUUUGCCCUCCCUCUGGAACUUUGGUGGUAAGUCUCCAAAAUCACAACACUGGAAAAUGUUCAUUUUGCUCACUUUCCUCUGUUUUUCCCGUUUUCCAAAAUGCAGCUCUUUGCGGUCAGCUUCGAGGUGGUUUUCCAUAUC
Molecule: long non-coding RNA, 596 nt
Organism: Acanthaster planci (crown-of-thorns starfish)
Lineage: Eukaryota; Metazoa; Echinodermata; Asteroidea; Valvatida; Acanthasteridae
Source: RefSeq, a predicted model, not a curated record